RNAcentral lists this ribosomal RNA (484 nucleotides) under uncultured bacterium. RNAcentral's name for it is "partial 16S ribosomal RNA". It matches the Rfam family "Bacterial small subunit ribosomal RNA", at positions 30 to 507 of the family's 1533-position model. The record is from RNAcentral.
AUUGAACGCUGGCGGCAUGCUUUACACAUGCAAGUCGAGCGGCAGCGCGGCCUUCGGGCUGGCGGCGAGCGGCGAACGGGUGAGUAAUGCAUCGGAACAUGCCCAGUCGUGGGGGAUAACACUUCGAAAGAAGUGCUAAUACCGCAUACGUCCUGAGGGGGAAAGCGGGGGAUCGCAAGACCUCGCGCGAUUGGAGUGGCCGAUGUCAGAUUAGCUAGUUGGUGGGGUAAAGGCCUACCAAGGCGACGAUCUGUAGCUGGUCUGAGAGGAUGAUCAGCCACACUAGGACUGAGACACGGCCCAGACUCCUACGGGAGGCAGCAGUGGGGAAUUUUGGACAAUGGGGGCAACCCUGAUCCAGCCAUUCCGCGUGAGUGAAGAAGGCCUUCGGGUUGUAAAGCUCUUUCGGCAGGAACGAAACGGUGGGCUCUAACAUAGUCCGCUAAUGACGGUACCUGAAGAAGAAGCACCGGCUAACUACGUG